GAUCAUGGCUCAGGAUGAACGCUGGCGGCGUGCCUAAUACAUGCAAGUCGAACGAGUUCUGGUUAAUGAUGGCGGUGCUUGCACCAAUAGAUUUAACAUUUGAACGAGUGGCGGACGGGUGAGUAACACGUGGGUAACCUGCCCUAAAGUGGGGGAUAACAUUUGGAAACAGAUGCUAAUACCGCAUAAAUCUUGGAACCUCAUGGUUCCAAGCUGAAAGAUGGCGUAAGCUAUCGCUUUUGGAUGGACCCGCGGCGUAUUAGCUAGUUGGUGAGGUAAAGGCUCACCAAGGCGAUGAUACGUAGCCGACCUGAGAGGGUGAUCGGCCACAUUGGGACUGAGACACGGCCCAAACUCCUACGGGAGGCAGCAGUAGGGAAUCUUCCACAAUGGACGAAAGUCUGAUGGAGCAACGCCGCGUGAGUGAAGAAGGUUUUCGGAUCGUAAAACUCUGUUGUUGGAGAAGAACGUACGUGAGAGUAACUGUUCACGUAGUGACGGUAUCCAACCAGAAAGCCACGGCUAACUACGUGCCAGCAGCCGCGGUAAUACGUAGGUGGCAAGCGUUAUCCGGAUUUAUUGGGCGUAAAGCGAGCGCAGGCGGUUUCUUAAGUCUGAUGUGAAAGCCCUCGGCUCAACCGAGGAAGUGCAUCGGAAACUGGGAAACUUGAGUGCAGAAGAGGACAGUGGAACUCCAUGUGUAGCGGUGGAAUGCGUAGAUAUAUGGAAGAACACCAGUGGCGAAGGCGGCUGUCUGGUCUGUAACUGACGCUGAGGCUCGAAAGCAUGGGUAGCGAACAGGAUUAGAUACCCUGGUAGUCCAUGCCGUAAACGAUGAAUACUAAGUGUUGGAGGGUUUCCGCCCUUCAGUGCUGCAGCUAACGCAUUAAGUAUUCCGCCUGGGGAGUACGACCGCAAGGUUGAAACUCAAAGGAAUUGACGGGGGCCCGCACAAGCGGUGGAGCAUGUGGUUUAAUUCGAAGCAACGCGAAGAACCUUACCAGGUCUUGACAUCUUCUGCUAUUCUAAGAGAUUAGAAGUUCCCUUCGGGGACAGAAUGACAGGUGGUGCAUGGUUGUCGUCAGCUCGUGUCGUGAGAUGUUGGGUUAAGUCCCGCAACGAGCGCAACCCUUAUGACUAGUUGCCAGCAUUAAGUUGGGCACUCUAAUCAGACUGCCGGUGACAAACCGGAGGAAGGUGGGGAUGACGUCAAAUCAUCAUGCCCCUUAUGACCUGGGCUACACACGUGCUACAAUGGAUGGUACAACGAGUCGCAAAACCGCGAGGUUAAGCUAAUCUCUUAAAGCCAUUCUCAGUCCGGACUGUAGGCUGCAACUCGCCUACACGAAGUCGGAAUCGCUAGUAAUCGCGGAUCAGCAUGCCGCGGUGAAUACGUUCCCGGGCCUUGUACACACCGCCCGUCACACCAUGAGAGUUUGUAACACCCGAAGCCGGUGGGGUAACCUUUUAGGAGCUAGCCGUCUAAGGUGGGACAGAUGAUUAGGGUGAAGUCGUAACAAGGUAGCCGUAGGAGAACCUGCGGCUGGAUCACCUCCUA
This 1558-nucleotide ribosomal RNA is filed under the name Lacticaseibacillus saniviri. RNAcentral describes it as "Lactobacillus saniviri partial 16S rRNA". It matches the Rfam family "Bacterial small subunit ribosomal RNA". RNAcentral also lists the same sequence under 1 other name. Lineage: Bacteria; Bacillati; Bacillota; Bacilli; Lactobacillales; Lactobacillaceae. The record is from RNAcentral.